UACGUAGGCAGCAAGCGUUGUUCGGAGUUACUGGGCGUAAAGGGUGUGUAGGCGGUCGGAUAAGUGUGGUGUGAAAUCUCCCGGCUCAACUGGGAGGGUGCGCUACAAACUGUCUGGCUAGAGUGCGGGAUGGGAAAGUGGAAUUCCUGGUGUAGCGGUGAAAUGCGCAGAUAUCGGGAAGAACACCCGUGGCGAAGGCGGCUCUCUGGGACGGUACUGACGCUGAGACGCGAAAGCGUGGGGAGCGAACAGG
RNAcentral lists this ribosomal RNA (253 nucleotides) under uncultured bacterium. Its description in RNAcentral is "partial 16S ribosomal RNA". It matches the Rfam family "Bacterial small subunit ribosomal RNA", at positions 524 to 776 of the family's 1533-position model. The record is from RNAcentral.